UCUCCGUUGGUGAACCAGCGGAGGGAUCAUUACCGAGUUUACAACUCCCAAACCCAAUGUGAACGUUACCAAACUGUUGCCUCGGCGGGAUCUUCUGCCCCGGGUGCGUCGCAGCCCCGGACCAAGGCGCCCGCCGGAGGAAUCAACCAAAACUCUUAUUGUAUACCCCCUCGCGGGUUUUUUUUAUAAUCUGAGCCUUCUCGGCGCCUCUCGUAGGCGUUUCGAAAAUGAAUCAAAACUUUCAACAACGGAUCUCUUGGUUCUGGCAUCGAUGAAGAACGCAGCGAAAUGCGAUAAGUAAUGUGAAUUGCAGAAUUCAGUGAAUCAUCGAAUCUUUGAACGCACAUUGCGCCCGCCAGUAUUCUGGCGGGCAUGCCUGUCCGAGCGUCAUUUCAACCCUCGAACCCCUCCGGGGGGUCGGCGUUGGGGAUCGGCCUCCUCUCACGGGGGCCGUCUCCGAAAUACAGUGGCGGUCUCGCCGCAGCCUCUCCUGCGCAGUAGUUUGCACACUCGCAUCGGGAGCGCGGCGCGUCCACAGCCGUUAAACACCCAACUUCUGAAAUGUUGACCUCGGAUCAGGUAGGAAUACCCGCUGAACUUAA
This 602-nucleotide ribosomal RNA is filed under the name Trichoderma longifialidicum. RNAcentral's name for it is "eukaryotic LSU rRNA". The stretch from base 237 to 390 matches the Rfam family "5.8S ribosomal RNA". The record is from RNAcentral. Lineage: Eukaryota; Fungi; Ascomycota; Sordariomycetes; Hypocreales; Hypocreaceae.